UGGGGAAUCUUGGACAAUGGGCGAAAGCCUGAUCCAGCCAUGCCGCGUGAAUGAUGAAGGUCUUAGGAUUGUAAAAUUCUUUCACCGGGGAAGAUAAUGACGGUACCCGGAGAAGAAGCCCCGGCUAACUUCGUGCCAGCAGCCGCGGUAAUACGAAGGGGGCUAGCGUUGCUCGGAUUUACUGGGCGUAAAGGGUGCGUAGGCGGAUUGGUAAGUUGGAGGUGAAAGCCCAGGGCUCAACCCUGGAAUUGCCUUCAAAACUGCUAGUCUUGAGUUUGGGAGAGGUAAGUGGAAUUCCGAGUGUAGAGGUGAAAUUCGUAGAUAUUCGGAAGAACACCAGUGGCGAAGGCGACUUACUGGACCAAUACUGACGCUGAGGCACGAAAGCGUGGGGAGCAAA
Molecule: ribosomal RNA, 400 nt
Filed under: uncultured bacterium
Lineage: Bacteria
Description: bacterial SSU rRNA
Rfam family: Bacterial small subunit ribosomal RNA
Source: RNAcentral